Molecule: ribosomal RNA, 403 nt
Filed under: uncultured prokaryote
Description: bacterial SSU rRNA
Rfam family: Bacterial small subunit ribosomal RNA
Source: RNAcentral
UGGGGAAUAUUGCGCAAUGGGGGGAACCCUGACGCAGCAAUACCGCGUGAGUGAAGAAGGUUUUCGGAUCGUAAAGCUCUGUUCUUGGGGAAGAAGAAAGACGGUACCCAAGGAGGAAGUCCCGGCUAACUACGUGCCAGCAGCCGCGGUAAUACGUAGGGGACAAGCGUUGUCCGGAAUUACUGGGCGUAAAGGGCACGCAGGCGGUUAUUUAAGUCAGAUGUGAAAGGCACCAGCUCAACUGGUGACAUGCAUUUGAAACUGGGUAACUUGAGUAUUGGAGAGGCAAGUGGAAUUCCUAGUGUAGCGGUGAAAUGCGUAGAUAUUAGGAGGAACACCGGUGGCGAAGGCGGCUUGCUGGACAAAUACUGACGCUGAGGUGCGAAAGCGUGGGGAGCAAACA